UACAGAGGUCCCAAGCGUUGUUCGGAUUCACUGGGCGUAAAGGGUGCGUAGGUGGCCGGUUAAGUCUGACGUGAAAUCUCCGAGCCUAACUCGGAAACUGCAUCGGAAACUAUCCGGCUCGAGGGUUGGAGGGGGGACUGGAAUACUUGGUGUAGCAGUGAAAUGCGUAGAUAUCAAGUGGAACACCAGUGGCGAAGGCGGCUUCCUGGACCAAUACUGACGAUCAGGUGCGAAAGCGUGGGGAACAAACAGG
RNAcentral lists this ribosomal RNA (253 nucleotides) under uncultured bacterium. Its description in RNAcentral is "partial 16S ribosomal RNA". It matches the Rfam family "Bacterial small subunit ribosomal RNA", at positions 524 to 776 of the family's 1533-position model. The record is from RNAcentral.